AGUGAACGCUGGCGGUAGGCCUAACACAUGCAAGUCGAACGGCAGCACAGUAAGAGCUUGCUCUUACGGGUGGCGAGUGGCGGACGGGUGAGGAAUACAUCGGAAUCUACUUUUUCGUGGGGGAUAACGUAGGGAAACUUACGCUAAUACCGCAUACGACCUACGGGUGAAAGCAGGGGAUCUUCGGACCUUGCGCGAUUGAAUGAGCCGAUGUCGGAUUAGCUAGUUGGCGGGGUAAAGGCCCACCAAGGCGACGAUCCGUAGCUGGUCUGAGAGGAUGAUCAGCCACACUAGAACUGAGACACGGUCCAGACUCCUACGAGAGGCAGCAGUGGGGAAUAUUGGACAAUGGGCGCAAGCCUGAUCCAGCCAUACCGCGUGGGUGAAGAAGGCCUUCGGGUUGUAAAGCCCUUUUGUUGGGAAAGAAAAGCAGCAGGUUAAUACCCCGCUGUUCUGACGGUACCCAAAGAAUAAGCACCGGCUAACUUCGUG
Molecule: ribosomal RNA, 492 nt
Filed under: uncultured bacterium
Lineage: Bacteria
Description: partial 16S ribosomal RNA
Rfam family: Bacterial small subunit ribosomal RNA
Source: RNAcentral